Molecule: ribosomal RNA, 2075 nt
Filed under: wastewater metagenome
Description: bacterial LSU rRNA
Rfam family: Bacterial large subunit ribosomal RNA
Source: RNAcentral
AAAAGCUUUUUUAAGGGCACACAGAGGAUGCCUUGAUAUGUAGUACCGAAGAAGGACGUGAUAGUCUGCGAUAAGCUUGGGGGAGCUGACAAUGAGUUUUGAUCCCAAGAUUUCCGAAUGGGGCAACCCACUCUGGGUCAUGCCAGAGUACUUCUGCCUGAAUAUAUAGGGUAGAUAGAGGGAACCGCGUGAACUGAAACAUCUUAUUAGCGCGAGGAAGAGAAAGUAAUCAACGAUUCCGUGAGUAGUGGCGAGCGAAAAUGGAAUAGCCCAAACCUUUUAGAUUUUUUGUUCAUCAAUUUUGAUGAUCAAAAUAAGUUGGUAGACGAAUAUCUAUAAGGGGUUGCAAGAUUAUACAAGAUCAAGCAAGAGUUCUUUGUUCUGUAAGGUUCAGAGAGUUCUUGUUUGUGAAGUUUACUGCCAAUUGAACUGUGAUAAAUAGACUUAGUUAAAAGAACAAGCUGGAAAGCUUGGCCGAAGAGAGUGAAAGCCUCGUAUUUGAAAAUUAAGUUUAGAAAUCAUCUGUAUUUUCUUAAGUAGGUCGGGACACGUGAAACCCUGACUGAAUCUAGGAGGACCACCUCCUAAGGCUAAAUAUACUACAUGAUCGAUAGUGAACGAGUACCGUGAGGGAAAGGUGAAAAGAACCCCGGGAGGGGAGUGAAAUAGAACCUGAAACUGUGUGCCUACAAGGAGUCGGAGCGGACUUGUUCCGUGACGGCGUGCUUUUUGUAGAACGAUCCAACGAGUUAUUCUAUAGUGCAGCUUAAGGUGUAUACCGGAGGCACAGCGAAAGCGAGUCUGAAUAGGGCGCAUGUACUAUGGAAUAGACCCGAAACCCGGUGACCUAACCAUGACCAGGCUGAAGUAUCGGUAAAACGAUGCGGAGGGCCGAACCAAUGUAGUGACUGCUUGGAUGAGUUGUGGUUAGCGGUGAAAUGCCAUUCGAACCGGGAGAUAGCUGGUUCUCCUCGAAAUAGCUUUAGGGCUAGCGUCGCGCGGUAGCAAUUGGGGGUAGAGCUCUGAAAAGAACUGAGGCUGGCAACGGUACUCACUCUUACCAAACUACGAAUACCAAUUGUGGAAUCGCGGCAGUUAGAACACGGGGGCUAAGCUCCGUGCUCGAAAGGGAAACAGCCCAGACCAUCGUCUAAGGUCCCUAAAUCAAUACUAAGUGGGAAACGAACUGAGGCUUCUUAAACAGCGAGGAUGUUGGCUUAGAAGCAGCCAUUCAUUUAAAGAGUGCGUAACAGCUCACUCGUCGAGAAGCCUUGGGCGGAAGAUGUAACGGGGCUAAAGUAUUGUACCGAAGACAUGGAUUGCAGUUUUUACUGCAGUGGUAGAGGAGCGUUGAUAGUGCGCUGAAGGUGAACUGUGAGGUUUGCUGGAGAGCUAUCAAGUGAGAAUGUUGGAAUAAGUAACUUCAAGAAAGGUGAGAAUCCUUUCCGCCGAAAGAGUAAGGUUUCCUGGGCAAUGGUAAUCAUCCCAGGGUUAGUCGGGCCUAAGCCGAGGCAGUUUAGCGUAGGCGAUGGACAACGGGUUAAUAUUCCCGUACCGGUAUAAAAUUUUUGAUAAAUUGCGGAGUGGUAGUUUGAGCGGAUUCAUGGUUAUAUCCGUUUAACUAGUUAGAUUUCGAUCGAGCUAGGAGUACGAGUUGUAGGCUUUCGAGCCCGCGACGAGUCAACAAGUCCAUUCUGCCCAGAAAAGUUUAUUAGAUUAUGUUUUAUGCCGCCCGUACCGUAAACCAUUAAAGGUACUCAGGUCGAGUAGACCAAGGCGUACGAGAGAAUCUUGGUUAAGGAACUCGGCAAUAUAGCGACCGUAACUUCGGGAUAAGGUCUGCCUAGCGUAAAAACUAGGUUGCAACAAAAGAGUCCAGGCGACUGUUUAUUUAAAACACAGGUCUCUGCUAACACGAAAGUGGAUGUAUAGGGGCUGACGCCUGCCCAGUGCCGGAAGGUUAAGGGGAUAAGUUAACGCUUUGAACUGAAGCCCCGGUGAACGGCGGCCUUAACUAUUAGGGUCCUAAGGUAGCGAAAUUCCUUGUCGGGUAAGUUCCGACCCGCACGAAUGGC